GGGCGGAUGGCGAAAUUGGUAGACGCGACGGCCUUAGGAGCCGUUGGGGCAACCCGUGGAGGUUCGAGUCCUCUUCCGCCCA
Molecule: non-coding RNA, 82 nt
Organism: Omnitrophica WOR_2 bacterium
Lineage: Bacteria; Pseudomonadati; Candidatus Omnitrophota
Source: Rfam